RNAcentral lists this ribosomal RNA (221 nucleotides) under uncultured Streptococcaceae bacterium. RNAcentral's name for it is "partial 16S ribosomal RNA". It matches the Rfam family "Bacterial small subunit ribosomal RNA", at positions 118 to 334 of the family's 1533-position model. Lineage: Bacteria; Bacillati; Bacillota; Bacilli; Lactobacillales; Streptococcaceae. The record is from RNAcentral.
UAGGUAACCUGCCUGGUAGCGGGGGAUAACUAUUGGAAACGAUAGCUAAUACCGCAUAACAGUAGAUGUUGCAUGACAUUUGCUUAAAAGGUGCAAUUGCAUCACUACCAGAUGGACCUGCGUUGUAUUAGCUAGUUGGUGGGGUAACGGCUCACCAAGGCGACGAUACAUAGCCGACCUGAGAGGGUGAUCGGCCACACUGGGACUGAGACACGGCCCAG